Molecule: non-coding RNA, 164 nt
Filed under: Lotharella globosa
Lineage: Eukaryota; Cercozoa; Chlorarachniophyceae
Source: RNAcentral
UGUUUUUUUUAAUUUUUUUCGAUGUUUUUUUUUUUAUAUAUAUUUUCGGGCCGAAAAGAAAACAAGAAGGGAGAAAAGCGAGACACAGAGAGAGAGGAGGGCGACCAAAAGAAAAAACAGUGACGAGAGAAAAAUGAGUCAAGAAUAUUGAUUUUUUUUAUUGU